UACAAUCUUGAAGGUGGUGUAUAUUAUCCUCAUCUAGAUUUAUACUUCAAUAUAUUAUAGAUAGUGUUUUAUGUGCUGUGAAAGUAUAGAGUGGUAUCAAAAGAGAUUGCAUGUUUCAUUCAGAAUUUGUUUUAUUUUGGGACUGGGGAUUGAACCCAAGGGUGCUUAACCACUGAGCCACAUCACCAGCCCUUUUUAUUUUGAGACAGGAUCUCAUUAAAUUGCUUAGGGCCUCGCUGAGGCUGGCUUUGAACUUGUUAUCCUCCUGUAAGCCCAAAACGCUGGGUUUGCAGCUAGCCAGUACUGGUUUUUAGAUGUAUUCACAUUGGUGCAAGUAGCUCUAAUUCAUUUGAACACUGUACAAAUAUACUAAUUUAAUCAUUCAUUCUUUUUUUUAAAAUUUUUUUUAGUUAUGGAUGGACACAAUAUCUUUAUUUUUAUUUAUUUAUUUGUAUGUGGUGCCGAGGAUCAAACCCAGGGCCUCAUGCAUGCAAGCUGAUACUUGAUGAAUGAGAAGUCAUCCAUGUGAAGAGCCAGGAAACAAGCUGUUUAAGCAUCUGGAUCAGAAGACAGGCCCUAAGAUUUCAUCAAAGAUCUAAAGCACGUAGAUCGAUUCGGGAGCUGAGAAAAUAUACUGCUAGUCCUGAAACUGAGAUGUGACAGAAUCACAGGACGCCCAAACAAAGGAACUGAAAAAUGUGAAUGAAAAAAGUAAGUAACUCUCUUACAGUGCCAAACAGUAGUAUAGACUUUCAAGUGACAAAUUAGAAAUUAUUUCCAAAUGCGGGUCAUGCCUUUAGUAACUUAGCUCAACAUGCUAACAUUUCCUCUCCUUCCCCAUUCAUUUCGUUUACUAGCCCUCUGUAUAUCUGCCAAGUGGUUACGUUGGAGUAUCUAGGAGACAGAGGUAUCAUUCCCCUUGGGAGCUUUCAUUUACUUUAACUACCUGAUCUUCAAUAUUAAAGCAGAGUAAGGUUCACAAGUCCUAUUACUGUAUUUUCAACCUAUUUUCCUUUAAGCCAUCCUUUUUUUUUUUUUUUUUGGUACCAGGGCUUGAACUUAGGGGCACUUAACCACUGAGCCCCAUCCCCAGCCCUAUUUUGUAUUUUAUUUAGAGACAGGGUCUCACUGAGUUGCUUAGCACUUCACCCUUGCUGAGGCUGGCUUUGAACUCAUGCUCCUCCUGCCUCAGCCUCUGGAGCCACUGGGAUUACAGGCGUGUGCCACUGCCCUUGGCUUAGGUCAUCUUUUUUGACAAUGAGUACUUACUAAUUUUUAAAGAUACCUAUUCAAAAACAGAAAUCUCAAUAAUCUAUAAUUGAUGUGGAUGAAAUUUUCUUUUUUCUAAAACAACUUCCCCAUCCACUGAUUUUUUUCCCCCUUUACUUACAAGUUGGUCAUACUCUUUCUAGGUAGAAACACACUGCUAAAUAGAAUGACUACCAAAAUGCAAGAUGUAGAUUUGUGUUUAUACAAUAAGGCAGAGUUAAAACCCUAUCACACAGAAUCAGAGUUUCAGUGUUAGGAAAGACUUUUAGGAUCACCUUGCACAAUUACCUAUUUUUGGUGUAUAUGUGACAACCCCCCACCUGAUUCCCAUAUUGGGGAUUGAACCUAGGGGUGCUCUGCCAUUGAGCUAUACCCCUAACACUUUUUAUUUUUUGAAACAGGGUCUCAUUAAGUUGCUGAGGCUGGCUUGAACUUACUGAUCUUCCUGCCUCCGCCUCCCAAAUUGCUGGGAUUAUAGGUAUGUGCUACCCUGCUUGGGAGACAACCAGAUUUCUUAAGUGAAGUCAAAAUCCUUUUUCAGAAGGGAGGGAGAGAGAAGGACGGAGAGGGAGUGAGACAGACACAGACAGAGAUACUGAUACAAUGAAACAAGUCAAAACUGCACAAGAGAUGGUCCAGUUCUACUUAACAUAAAAUUUUUGUUUAUUCCCCAUGCAAAUUAAAACCACAAUGAGGGCUGGAGUGGUGGCUCAGUGAUAGAGUGUACGCCUAACAUGCACGAGACACUGGGUUCGAACCUUGGCACCACAUAAAAACAAACUAAUGUAUCCACCUAAAAUUAAAGAUACAUAAAUAAAUAAAUGUUUAAAAAAAAACCACAAUGAGAUACCUUAAUCUGUUAGAAGGGCUAGUAAACAAAAACAAAAACAAACAAACAAACAAAAAAAACAAAGAAAAAUGCUGAUGAGGAUAUAGAGAAUAGGGAGCUCUUCUAAACCCUUGGUGGUAAUGCAAAUUAGUAUGGCUAUUUUGGAAAACAAUAGGGAGAUUCCUCAAAAAACUAAGAAAAUUGCCAUAUGAUCUCGAAACCCCACUUCUGAAUAUAUAUCCAAAGGAACUGAAAUCCCUAUGCGAAAGAGAUGUGUGUUUGUUGCAGUGUUACAGUAGCUAAGAUUUAGAAACAACCUAAGUGCCUGUUACUAAAUUAAUGGGACUUUUAAAAGGUUGUAUACUGUAACAAUACAAUCAUCUUUAAAAAGAAUGAAAUGCUGUCACUUGCAACAUAGAUGAUUCUAGAGGAUACCACCUUAAGUGAAAUAAGCCAGGCACAGAAAGACAAAUGUCUCAUGAUUUUACUUGUAUGUGGUAUCUAAAAAAGUCCAAGUCAAGUAGAAAGAAGAAUAGUGGUUACCAGAGACUGAGGGCAGGGGAAAGUGGGCAGGGAAAGGAGUAUUGUUGUACAAAGGGUACAAGUUUCAG
Marmota monax (woodchuck) is the source of this 2709-nucleotide long non-coding RNA. RefSeq lists it as uncharacterized. The record is from RefSeq and is a predicted model, not a curated record. NCBI's taxonomy places the organism in Eukaryota, Metazoa, Chordata, Mammalia, Rodentia, Sciuridae. The transcript has 3 exons.